RNAcentral lists this ribosomal RNA (253 nucleotides) under uncultured bacterium. RNAcentral describes it as "partial 16S ribosomal RNA". It matches the Rfam family "Bacterial small subunit ribosomal RNA", at positions 524 to 776 of the family's 1533-position model. The record is from RNAcentral.
UACGGAGGGUGCAAGCGUUAUCCGGAUUCACUGGGUUUAAAGGGUGCGUAGGUGGGUUUGUAAGUCAGUGGUGAAAUCUCCAAGCUUAACUUGGAAACUGCCGUUGAUACUAUAAAUCUUGAAUGUUGUGGAGGUGAGCGGAAUAUGUCAUGUAGCGGUGAAAUGCUUAGAUAUGACAUAGAACACCAAUUGCGAAGGCAGCUGGCUACACGAAUAUUGACACUGAUGCACGAAAGCGUGGGGAUCAAACAGG